Molecule: microRNA, 22 nt
Filed under: Picea abies (Norway spruce)
Lineage: Eukaryota; Viridiplantae; Streptophyta; Pinopsida; Pinales; Pinaceae
Description: pab-miR11535
Source: miRBase by way of RNAcentral
UGAGCCGCUUUUGGAUGUGACG